Molecule: microRNA, 23 nt
Filed under: Canis lupus familiaris (dog)
Lineage: Eukaryota; Metazoa; Chordata; Mammalia; Carnivora; Canidae
Description: cfa-miR-8873a
Source: miRBase by way of RNAcentral
UCCUGAAGGCAGUGGGGUGUAGC